RNAcentral lists this ribosomal RNA (453 nucleotides) under Feltiella tetranychi. RNAcentral's name for it is "partial large subunit ribosomal RNA". It matches the Rfam family "Eukaryotic large subunit ribosomal RNA", at positions 329 to 657 of the family's 3401-position model. Lineage: Eukaryota; Metazoa; Arthropoda; Insecta; Diptera; Cecidomyiidae. The record is from RNAcentral.
CGAAACCGAUAGCGAACAAGUACCGUGAGGGAAAGUUGAAAAGUACUCUGAAUAGAGAGUUAAAUAGUACGUGAAACCGCUUAGGGGUUAAGCCCGAUGAACCCGAAUAUCUGAUGUGAGAAAUUCAAUACUGUUCAUCAAACGGAUAGUAUGCACUUUUCUCAUAGUAAGACAUUGUAAUCCAUUGAUGCUAUAUCUUUUUCACUAUUGGGAAAGAUGAUUUAACAUACGGACAAGAUGUAUACGUUUAUUCUAUCAGUGAUGUGUUCACAUGUCAUAUGAAUAAGAUCGUUUUGUACCUGUUUGAAUAGUCGAUGGAUUUUAACUGAAUCAUGCUUGCAAUUUAUUUUGCGUUUCGUACUAUGUGCCCGGAAACGGGUGAAUGGUAGCAGAAAUGGCAUGCAUUCGAUUAACAAUGCGAUAGAUUUGGGAUACUUUCAGGACCCGUCUUGA